Molecule: ribosomal RNA, 470 nt
Filed under: Segatella baroniae
Lineage: Bacteria; Pseudomonadati; Bacteroidota; Bacteroidia; Bacteroidales; Prevotellaceae
Description: bacterial SSU rRNA
Rfam family: Bacterial small subunit ribosomal RNA
Source: RNAcentral
GAUGAACGCUGGCUACAGGCUUAACACAUGCAAGUCGAGGGGCAGCAUGGGGUUUGCUUGCAAACCCCCGAUGCGACCGGCGCACGGGUGAGUAACGGGGUAUCCAACCUUCCCGCGACUCGGGUAUAACCUGCCGAAAGGCAGACUAAUCCCCGAUGUCCUCCACUUUGGACAUCUUUUGUGGAGCAAAGGCUUCGGCCGGUUGCGGAUGGGGAUGCGUCCGAUUAGCUUGUUGGCGGGGCAAUGGCCCACCAAGGCUUCGAUCGGUAGGGGUUCUGAGAGGAAGGCCCCCCACAUUGGAACUGAGACACGGUCCAAACUCCUACGGGAGGCAGCAGUGAGGAAUAUUGGUCAAUGGGCGGAAGCCUGAACCAGCCAAGUAGCGUGCAGGACGACGGCCCUAUGGGUUGUAAACUGCUUUUAUGCGGGGAUAACCGGGGCCACGCGUGGCCCCCUGCAGGUACCGCAUA